This 614-nucleotide ribosomal RNA is filed under the name uncultured Actinomycetes bacterium. RNAcentral's name for it is "bacterial SSU rRNA". It matches the Rfam family "Bacterial small subunit ribosomal RNA", at positions 89 to 717 of the family's 1533-position model. The record is from RNAcentral. Lineage: Bacteria; Bacillati; Actinomycetota; Actinomycetes.
ACUCGAGUGGCGAACGGGUGAGUAACACGUGGGUGAUCUGCCCUGCACUUCGGGAUAAGCCUGGGAAACUGGGUCUAAUACCGGAUAGGAGCCAUUUUUAGUGUGAUGGUUGGAAAGUUUUUUCGGUGUAGGAUGAGCUCGCGGCCUAUCAGCUUGUUGGUGGGGUAAUGGCCUACCAAGGCGGCGACGGGUAGCCGGCCUGAGAGGGUGGACGGCCACAUUGGGACUGAGAUACGGCCCAGACUCCUACGGGAGGCAGCAGUGGGGAAUAUUGCACAAUGGGCGCAAGCCUGAUGCAGCGACGCCGCGUGGGGGAUGACGGCCUUCGGGUUGUAAACUCCUUCCGCUAGGGACGAAGCUUUUUGUGACGGUACCUAGAUAAGAAGCACCGGCUAACUACGUGCCAGCAGCCGCGGUAAUACGUAGGGUGCGAGCGUUGUCCGGAAUUACUGGGCGUAAAGGGCUCGUAGGUGGUUUGUCGCGUCGUCUGUGAAAUUCCGGGGCUUAACUCCGGGCGUGCAGGCGAUACGGGCAUAACUUGAGUACUGUAGGGGUAACUGGAAUUCCUGGUGUAGCGGUGAAAUGCGCAGAUAUCAGGAGGAACACCGAUGGCG